GACGAACGCUGGCGGCGUGCCUAAUACAUGCAAGUAGAACGCACAGUUUAUACCGUAGCUUGCUACACCAUAAACUGUGAGUUGCGAACGGGUGAGUAACGCGUAGGUAACCUGCCUGGUAGCGGGGGAUAACUAUUGAAACGAUAACCAAAAACGCAUAAAAUUGAAUAUUGCCAGAUAAAUUGUUGAAAGAUGAUAAUGGAUUACACACCGAAGGAACUGCGUUGUAUUAACUAGUAGGGGGAGGAAACGCUCACCUAGGCGACGAUACAUAGCCGGCCUGAGGAGGUGAUCGGCCACACUGGGACUGAGACACGGCCCAGACUCCUACGGGAGGCAGCAGUCGGGAAUCUUCGGCAAUGGACGAAAGUCUGACCGAGCAACGCCGCGUGAGUGAAGAAGGUUUUCGGAUCGUAAAGCUCUGUUGUAAGAGAAGAACGGGUGUGAGAGUGGAAAGUUCACACUGUGACGGUAUCUUACCAGAAAGGGACGGCUAACUACGUG
RNAcentral lists this ribosomal RNA (504 nucleotides) under uncultured bacterium. RNAcentral's name for it is "partial 16S ribosomal RNA". It matches the Rfam family "Bacterial small subunit ribosomal RNA", at positions 28 to 507 of the family's 1533-position model. The record is from RNAcentral.